ACCUACGUGGACCUCUCCCAGUUCUCCCAGAACAUGGGCAAUAGGGAGAAGUGGCUGCACUGUGAACAGAUAGCCAUUCAGAAGAGUAGUCUGUGCUGGUUCUCCAGGGAAGGAUUAUUGGCUACAGCCCAGCUCAUGCAGGCCUUGGCCUACACCAAGCUCUGCCUUGGCCAUCUUGACUUCUCCAUCAAGCUGGGUAAUGGGAUGUUGGGGCUGGUGGGCCCAGAGAUUUCACAGAGUCCAGGUUCACAGACCUCACACAAUGCUCUUUAACCUCCUUAGGUUUUCAAGCUCAUGAGCUAUGCAGACACCUCAAGAAACCGGCUCUGGAGAAUCUAGUUCUCUCAGUUCUUUUCAGAUCUGCAUUUCUGAAGAAAAAGUAUUAAGAUCAUUUUCAGUUAUUGUAGUCAUUGUAUAAGAAUGGGAGAGAUGUCCUUCAGAGAAGUUUGGGGUGGAAUGGGAGAUGCUUUUCCAUUUCCACAGCCAGGGCUCUUUACCCUGACCCCUCCAAGAAGCAUUAUCUUAAGUGCAGGGUGUCAGGAGUGGAAAUGCAGGGUGGAACUCCACUUGGACCUAGUGGGCAAACUUUGUUUCCCCGCCCCCCAUUUCCCUGCAGGGAGGACAGGGGAUUACAACAGCUCGGGUUCCUUGAAACUCCCUCAGAGGCAUUUCCCACCUCCUUUACCUAGAGAAAGGUCUGAUCUCAGGCCUAUGUUCUCUAUAUAAACAAAGCUCUGGAGAGGAGUUCUUGGGAGUAUUAGGUGCUUUGAAGGUUAAGAUCCCCUCCUUUCCUGCCCCAUCUUCCCCCACUCCCUAGCUGGUCCCAGUGGCUCUGUCUCUCGGCAGAUAUGAUCUGUGUGUCCAUGUGCUGGAGAGUCAGUGGGCGCUCAUUUCCCAGGGUCAUGAUGUCCUCGGCCUGGCCUGCUUCUACUCUGCUUGCUUAGAUCUGCUGUUGUAUGGAAAAGGUAAAUCUUGCACAGGGCUCUGCUGUAUGCUUAAGGGAUGCAAACGUCAGAUGGGGCACUAGGUUUGGAACAUAGGCAAUAUGAACCCAUCCCUCGGGCAUGGUCCCUUUUUCCUAAAGUCUGAGUUGUGAUUUAGAGGGUAUCUGCUUUUCUGGUUUGUUUCCUCCCUGUACCACCCCUUCUAUACCUCACUCUCUAUGUCGACAAUAUAUACUAGCCCGGUUACUCUCUUUGUCCACAGGAUUGCUGUGUCGGCCCUUUGGCGAGUGUCUGUGUUUCAUUCAACACUAUGGGCACAGCUGUGUUCUAACUUCUCAAAGCAAUGUCAUGCUGGGGGUCCAUUCCUCCCUGGCCAUGUGGUAAUGUCCCGCUGAGGAUCUGUGGGAAAGGGUAGAAUUCUAAGGUCCUCCUGAACUCAUUUCGGCACCUCACCCCUCUAAGCAGGACAAUUCAACAUCUUACUUUUAAAGACCAUUCAUCACCCAUCCCCUAUAUCUUACUAAAACAGUUCUUCUCGCCCUUUGUAGAUUUGGGCCCAUAAGUUGAGGGUUACAUUUAAGAGCUAGAGUAACCCACGGCAAGGCUGAUUAUCAUGGUCUGUCCCACGGCAAGGCUGAUUAUCGUGGUCUGUUCUUUGGUCUCCUUGCAUGUGAGCUAGACUUCAACAUUUUCCAGCACCAUAAUUCUGACUGGGUGCCUCAGGGCCUUAAAGAAGUGACAGUUCAUGAAAGAAACAUGGUUUAUAAACGGGGGAUAGAGUUGAGAGUUAUGACUCUUUCCUUCUAGGUUUGCCCAGAACUCACAGUGGGACCUAUUUGAGCAUCACUUCUCCAAGGCUUGCCGAUUGGUGAAAAGAGCCAAUGCCUCACUAUUUGGUUCACAUGGCUUUGUGCGAUUCCUAGAGUGCCGUGUGCUGAUGUUACAGAAAAUGCCAGAGGAGGUCUCUGGUCUUUCCCCAGAGACCCCCAGCCAAACCCUCCAGUACUUUAAGGAGUUCUUCUCUCGGUGUGUGACCUGCCCUGUCUAUAAAGAGUGGGUCUCUGAGCUUAAGGCCUCUGUGAUGAGGUAUGGAAAGAAAGAAUCCAUGACCUUGACUAACUCCAUCAGACCUUUUGAGACCAGCUUGACCAGGAUUUGGAUAGAGGGAGAAUUCCUAAAGAAAAACAACUGUUAUGAAAAAAAAAUUAGGAAUACAGAGAUUUGACAGUGUGGCUGAUGUCAAGGAGAAUAAGGACACAGAAGAAACUCAAAGAAUAUAUAUGUUCAAACAAAAGAAAAAUAACCUGAUGGGACCACGAUUCUCAUAUUGUAUAUAAUGCAAGGAAAUGCCCUGAGUUCUCCGUGUUCACCAUGUGCAUGCUGAAUAGACUAACCUUCAUAGUCACUGCAGCCUAUGUCUUUGUCAAAAUAAAAGCCUAUG
Molecule: RNA transcript, 2385 nt
Organism: Marmota monax (woodchuck)
Lineage: Eukaryota; Metazoa; Chordata; Mammalia; Rodentia; Sciuridae
Exons: 3
Source: RefSeq, a predicted model, not a curated record